CUCCAAUAGCGUAUAUUAAAGUUGUUGCAGUUAAAAAGCUCGUAGUUGAAUUUCGGGAUUAGUACAUUGGUCGUGCCUUCGGUACGUACUGGUGUUACUGGUUCCUACCUUCCGACGAACCAUCAUGUCAUUAAUUUGGUGUGGCGGGGAAUCAGGACUGUUACUUUGAAAAAAUUAGAGUGUUUAAAGCAGGCUCGCGCUUGAAUACAUUAGCAUGGAAUAAUGAAAUAGGACGUUGACCCUAUUUUGUUGGUUUCUAGGAUUGACGUAAUGAUUAAUAGGGAUAGUUGGGGGCAUUAGUAUUCAAUUGUCAGAGGUGAAAUUCUUGGAUUUAUUGAAGACUAACUACUGCGAAAGCAUUUGCCAAGGAUGUUUU
This 376-nucleotide ribosomal RNA is filed under the name uncultured Glomus. RNAcentral describes it as "SSU rRNA". It matches the Rfam family "Eukaryotic small subunit ribosomal RNA", at positions 589 to 970 of the family's 1831-position model. The record is from RNAcentral. Lineage: Eukaryota; Fungi; Glomeromycota; Glomeromycetes; Glomerales; Glomeraceae.